This 622-nucleotide ribosomal RNA is filed under the name Klebsiella quasipneumoniae subsp. similipneumoniae. Its description in RNAcentral is "partial 23S ribosomal RNA". It matches the Rfam family "Bacterial large subunit ribosomal RNA", at positions 224 to 888 of the family's 2925-position model. The record is from RNAcentral. Lineage: Bacteria; Pseudomonadati; Pseudomonadota; Gammaproteobacteria; Enterobacterales; Enterobacteriaceae.
AUCAACCGAGAUUCCCCCAGUAGCGGCGAGCGAACGGGGAGCAGCCCAGAGUCUGAAUCAGCUUGUGUGUUAGUGGAACGGUCUGGAAAGUCCGACGGUACAGGGUGAUAGUCCCGUACACCAAAAUGCACAGGUUGUGAACUCGAAGAGUAGGGCGGGACACGUGGUAUCCUGUCUGAAUAUGGGGGGACCAUCCUCCAAGGCUAAAUACUCCUGACUGACCGAUAGUGAACCAGUACCGUGAGGGAAAGGCGAAAAGAACCCCGGCGAGGGGAGUGAAAAAGAACCUGAAACCGUGUACGUACAAGCAGUGGGAGCACCUUUAUGGUGUGACUGCGUACCUUUUGUAUAAUGGGUCAGCGACUUAUAUUCUGUAGCAAGGUUAACCGUAUAGGGGAGCCGCAGGGAAACCGAGUCUUAACUGGGCGUUAAGUUGCAGGGUAUAGACCCGAAACCCGGUGAUCUAGCCAUGGGCAGGUUGAAGGUUGGGUAACACUAACUGGAGGACCGAACCGACUAAUGUUGAAAAAUUAGCGGAUGACUUGUGGCUGGGGGUGAAAGGCCAAUCAAACCGGGAGAUAGCUGGUUCUCCCCGAAAGCUAUUUAGGUAGCGCCUCGUGAA